Molecule: ribosomal RNA, 235 nt
Filed under: uncultured bacterium
Lineage: Bacteria
Description: partial 16S ribosomal RNA
Rfam family: Bacterial small subunit ribosomal RNA
Source: RNAcentral
CGCACGGGUGAGUAACACGUAUCCAACCUGCCGUCUACUCUUGGACAGCCUUCUGAAAGGAAGAUUAAUACAAGAUGGCAUCAUGAGUCCGCAUGUUCACAUGAUUAAAGGUAUUCCGGUAGACGAUGGGGAUGCGUUCCAUUAGAUAGUAGGCGGGGUAACGGCCCACCCAGUCUUCGAUGGAUAGGGGUUCUGAGAGGAAGGUCCCCCACAUUGGAACUGAGACACGGUCCAA